RNAcentral lists this ribosomal RNA (497 nucleotides) under uncultured bacterium. Its description in RNAcentral is "partial 16S ribosomal RNA". It matches the Rfam family "Bacterial small subunit ribosomal RNA", at positions 28 to 507 of the family's 1533-position model. The record is from RNAcentral.
GAUGAACGCUGGCGGCGUGCCUAAUACAUGCAAGUCGAGCGAACGGACGAGAAGCUUGCUUCUCUGAUGUUAGCGGCGGACGGGUGAGUAACACGUGGAUAACCUACCUAUAAGACUGGGAUAACUUCGGGAAACCGGAGCUAAUACCGGAUAAUAUUUUGAACCGCAUGGUUCAAAAGUGAAAGACGGUCUUGCUGUCACUUAUAGAUGGAUCCGCGCUGCAUUAGCUAGUUGGUAAGGUAACGGCUUACCAAGGCAACGAUGCAUAGCCGACCUGAGAGGGUGAUCGGCCACACUGGAACUGAGACACGGUCCAGACGCCUACGGGAGGCAGCAGUAGGGAAUCUGCCGCAGUGGGCGAAAGCCUGACGGAGCAACGCCGCGUGAGUGAUGAAGGUCUUCGGAUCGUAAAACUCUGUUAUUAGGGAAGAACAUAUGUGUAAGUAACUGUGCACAUCUUGACGGUACCUAGUCAGAAAGCCACGGCUAACUACGUG